Molecule: unclassified non-coding RNA, 181 nt
Filed under: uncultured fungus
Lineage: Eukaryota; Fungi
Description: sequence contains ITS1
Source: RNAcentral
AGAUGGCAGGCUUUCAUUUUGUUUGCUGCGCUGAUGGAGUUUAUUUACUGCUUCGGCUGCCUGUAUGGAAUGGACCAACUUCUUCAGCAACCACAAUUAAUUGUGUUUCUCAACUGGUCUGCUGUGGUUAUUUUUCUUUUACUGGGCCUCUAUACUUUAUUUCAUACGUUCAAAAGCACCA